Long non-coding RNA from Homo sapiens (human), 1643 nucleotides. RefSeq lists it as uncharacterized. NCBI's taxonomy places the organism in Eukaryota, Metazoa, Chordata, Mammalia, Primates, Hominidae. The transcript has 2 exons. The record is from RefSeq and is a predicted model, not a curated record.
CAGAAGCCUGGGGGCAGACAAACCCCUGCCCCACCUGCUGGCCUGGAGAUUCAUCCUUGGGUCAUUUAAACACGGAAACAAAAACCCCUAGGGGAAAGGCACACCCAGCCAACCAGGUAUUUUUGCCUGGGGUCACCCUUUUUCCCAUCCCACCAGAGAAGCCACCGCAAUGGUAUCCACUUACUGAGUCUCUACCACAUGCAGGGUAUCAUACCGUCACACCUCCUUCCCUUACAGCCACCAGCAAGAGGUGCUAAUCCAGCUGAGGCCAGGAACCCGAGGCUGCACAGCCUCCCGAUGUAAAUAUGAACAGAAGCCAGUGGGAGAACAAGAGCCACACCCUGGAGUCCCACCUAGGUCCUGCCCAGCUCCUCGCAUCCUCCACCCUAAGGCAUCACAGACCCCAGAUCUGAAGAUGUCCUCAGCAACUGGGCUAGGCUCUCUGGGGGAGUCUGAAACCCUCCCACCUCAAAAAGCUUCCCAUUUCUUUGAAUGACAAGAGAGUCUGGGCCACGACUGUCAAGGAAUACCUCCAGGCAACGCCUGUACAUCCCGUGGGGAGAGAUGCAUGCAUCCUGGGAGAGGAGACAUCUCUUCUUUCUAGAGACUGAGCAGACGACAGAGGCUUUUUCUAAAGGAGGGUGCUGCUAAAACCCACCAACUGCCCCAGGAUCCGUCUGUAGGACAGAAACAGGUACAGGGCCAGAGACGGAUGCCCUGUAGCAAAGUCAGCCCAGGGCCUGGCUGUUCAUGAAUAAGGGCUUCUGAAGAGACCACAGUUGUACCACAAGGUACAAGAGACCACAAGGGCUUCUGAAGAGACCAGUUGUACUUAGCUGAAGGUGAGAAAACAAACUUGGUAUUAGAUUGAGGGCCAACUCAGGAAGUAGUUUCAGUGCACCAGCUGUUAAUUUAUGUGAGUACAUCUAUACUUGUGUGGCUUUAUCAUCACCAACAAACAGCAAAUGUGUCCUGGCACCUGCUAUGUGCCAGGCCCAGCGCUAGGUAUUUUACAGACAUUAUCUCCUUUAAUUCUCCAAAGAGCCAUAAGCUGUGGCUAUCCAUGCUACAUUUUACUAAAAAUGAAGCAGAAGCACAGAAAGGUUGGAAAAGUUGCCCAAGCUCACAUCGCUAGUUACUGGUGGGAGCUGGGAUUCUAGGACCCUCAACAAUCUGGCCCCAGCCUGUCCCUCGGGUCUGAGCUGCCAGUGUUCAACACUUCAGAGCCUCUGCUCGCUGUUCCUGCCCCUCAAGCUCCCCACUCACCUAGUUUUGAGCUGUGUGGGUGGUUAAUGUAUGUCAUCAGCCCACAGCCUCCCUACUCCCUUCCUCCUCACCACCUAUUCAGUUCCCCCAGCUCAGAUCCCCUUCUCCCUCCAGACCAGCCAGGCAGACUCCUACCCAUCUGGCUACCUCUGCCCCACUACCAGCCUGGUCGCAUCACCUCCGCCUGCCAGGCCCCCAACCAGUGUCUUAUGGUGAUGACUUUGGCUGGCAGAGAAUCCUGGAACCUUUUCUCCACAGUGAUGUUGACACAUGUUCACUCCAAAAAUGUAAUGUUUCCAUCAAAACAUUUAGUGGGAGUAAAUUCCCACCCAUGCGACAUCUCUAAAAAAUAUAGAGUAAAUUUACUCGAACAAGCA